Molecule: non-coding RNA, 755 nt
Filed under: Pan troglodytes (chimpanzee)
Lineage: Eukaryota; Metazoa; Chordata; Mammalia; Primates; Hominidae
Source: RNAcentral
AGGAAACAACUCAUACCUAAGCACAGGAAGUGUCUGACUUACCAUGGUUGGACUUCCAUUAAAUUCAAGAAAAAUACAAAUGUUUGUCACUAUUGGUAGAUCAGAAUUUUCAAAAGAAAAUGCUACAUAGUGGAUGAAUUCAAUGCAAUUAAGGAGUCAAGUGUCCUCGACUGGCAACCAGAAGACUACAUCUGGCAGUUGUACCAUUUAGACUGUGGUCAAGUCCCAAGCUCUUUUCUCUAUGUAAAGAAAACAAAACGCAGCACAUUCACAUUUUCCCGAGGAACUGUAAAGAUGAUCUCUACAGGGAUAAACGUUGUAAAGCCUGAAGCUCAAUCAACUGAUGUUGAAAACUCUCAAAGGGAGUAAAGGCUUGAUCUCAAUGGUCUAGAACAUGUACUGUAAUUUAAUAGAAGAGAUGGUCGUCUUAAUAUUUAAUGAUUUAAAAGAACUUCCCAGUCCAUGCGAAGAGUACAGUCCAAGAAUAAAUCAAAUUUCUGAACGCAUUUUAUGCUACAUAUGUGUAUACUUUGCGAUCCUCAGGUGUUCGUGCCAAAUAUUCUCUCUCAAUAAGUCCUUCAAUACGUUUCUUAAUAACAACUGGACUUGGUAAGAAUCGCGCCUUCAACUGCUGAGUUACCUAAAAAAGAAAGUAGAUAGUAUUUUUAUAUAAACACAUAAAAAUUCAUAUCUUUGAACAGAACUGAUAUGUCAUUUUAACACUCAGAGACUGAACUUUACUAACUGGAUUACCA